UUACAAUGAGAGUUUGAUUCUAGCUCAGGAUGAACGCUGGCGGCGUGGAUACGGGCAUGCAAGUCGAACGAUCGUUUGUGCUUCACUAUGUUCAGCACAAACUUAAGUUAAAAAUUAAAAAUGAAAAUUUAAACUUUUAAUUUGAGCGAGUGAUGAGCGAUAGCGAAGCACGAGCGGUAGUGGCAAACGGGUUAGUAACGCGUAGGUAACUUACCCUGAAGUUUUGAAUAAUCCCGAGAAAUCGGGACUAAUACAAGAUAGUAAUGAGGGGACUUAUGUCAUUCUCAUUUAAAGACCCGCAAGGGUUGCUUCAGGAGAGGCCUGCGUCCUAUCAGCUAGUUGGUGAGGUAACGGCCCACCAAGGCGAUGACGGGUAGGGGGACUGAGAGGUCGGCCCCCAACAUCGGAACUGAGAAACUGUCCGGACUCCUACGGGAGGCUGCAGUCGAGAAUCUUCGACAAUGCGCGAAAGCGUGAUCGAGCGACGCCGCGUGAGUGAAGAAGCCCUUCGGGGUGUAAAACUCUUUUAUAGGGGAGCAAUGCGCUCCUCACUUACGUUCGGAGCUAAGUUAAAAAUGGAAAAUGAAAAGUUAAAAAUUAAGGUGCCCCGCUUCGCGGGAUGAUUAUAUAUAAAUCAUUGCGUAGCGAUACAAUGAUUUCACACUUUUAACUUUAAAAUUUUAAUUUGAGCGACGAGCGAAAGCGAGGAGCGUAAUGAGCGUACCCUAAGAAUAAGGGGUUCCUAAACUCGUGCCAGCAGGAGCGGUAAGACGAGUACCCCAAGCGUUAUCCGGAAUUACUGGGCGUAAAGCGUCUGUAGGGGGUUUUGAUAGUCUUGUGUUAAAUGUUGGGGCUCAACUCCAACGCCGCGCAAGAAACGUCAAAACUAGAGAGUGCGAGAGGCUGAUGGAACCUACGGUGUAGGGGUGAAAUCCGUUGAUAUCGUAGGGAACACCAAAAGCGAAGGCAUUCAGCUAGCGCUACUCUGACCCUGAGAGACGAAAGCGUGGGGAGCAAAAAGGAUUAGAUACCCUUGUAGUCCACGCCCUAAACUAUGCAAACUAGCCAUUUGAAGUAUCGACCCUUCAGGUGGCGAAGCUAACGCGUUAAGUUUGCCGCCUGGGAAGUACGGCCGCAAGGCUAAAACUCAAAGAAAUAGACGGGGACUUGCACAAGCGGUGGAGCAUGUGGUUCAAUUCGACGACAAGCGAGGAACCUUACCAGGUCUAGACAUCCAUCUGAAGUCUGCUGGAAACAGCCGAUGUCUCACAAGGACAGAUGGGUCAGGUAUUGCACGGUUGUCGUCAGCUCGUGGCGUGAGCUGUUCUCUUAAGUGAGGAAACGAGCGCAACCCUUAUGCUGCGUUACAAGUGUCGCAGCAGACUGCCUCAGACAAUGGGGAGGAAGGCGGGGAUGACGUCAAAUCAGCGUGAUCCUUUGAUGACCUGGGCUACACACGUGCUACAAUGGCCGGUACAAAGGGAAGCGAAAUGGUAACAUGGAGCUAAUCCCAUCAAAGCCGGUCCCAGUUCGGAUUGAGGUCUGCAACCCGACCUCAUGAAGCCGGAAUCGCUAGUAAUCGCGCAUCAGCCAUGGCGCGGUGAAUACGUUCUCAAGUCUUGUACUCACCGCCCGUCACGUCAAGGAAGCCGGGAAUACCGGAAGCGCCAAUUUAUUGGUUUCAAGGUAGGCUCGGUGACAGGGACGAAGUCGUAACAAGGCAUCCGUAGCGGAAGCUGUGGAUGGAUCACCUCCUUUCU
Molecule: ribosomal RNA, 1760 nt
Filed under: Candidatus Portnoybacteria bacterium RBG_19FT_COMBO_36_7
Lineage: Bacteria; Candidatus Portnoyibacteriota
Description: bacterial SSU rRNA
Rfam family: Bacterial small subunit ribosomal RNA
Source: RNAcentral